RNAcentral lists this ribosomal RNA (820 nucleotides) under Bacillus sp. (in: firmicutes). Its description in RNAcentral is "bacterial SSU rRNA". It matches the Rfam family "Bacterial small subunit ribosomal RNA", at positions 57 to 861 of the family's 1533-position model. The record is from RNAcentral. Lineage: Bacteria; Bacillati; Bacillota; Bacilli; Caryophanales; Bacillaceae.
GCAGUCGAGCGGACCGACGGGAGCUUGCUCCCUUAGGUCAGCGGCGGACGGGUGAGUAACACGUGGGUAACCUGCCUGUAAGACUGGGAUAACUCCGGGAAACCGGGGCUAAUACCGGAUGCUUGAUUGAACCGCAUGGUUCAAUCAUNAAAGGCGGCUUCGGCUGCCGUUUACAGAUGGACCCGCGGCGCAUUAGCUAGUUGGUGAGGUAACGGCUCACCAAGGCNACGAUGCGUAGCCGACCUGAGAGGGUGAUCGGCCACACUGGGACUGAGACACGGCCCAGACUCCUACGGGAGGCAGCAGUAGGGAAUCUUCCGCAAUGGACGAAAGUCUGACGGAGCAACGCCGCGUGAGUGAUGAAGGUUUUCGGAUCGUAAAGCUCUGUUGUUAGGGAAGAACAAGUACCGUUCGAAUAGGGCGGUACCUUGACGGUACCUAACCAGAAAGCCACGGCUAACUACGUGCCAGCAGCCGCGGUAAUACGUAGGUGGCAAGCGUUGUCCGGAAUUAUUGGGCGUAAAGCGCGCGCAGGCGGUUUCUUAAGUCUGAUGUGAAAGCCCCCGGCUCAACCGGGGAGGGUCAUUGGAAACUGGGGAACUUGAGUGCAGAAGAGGAGAGUGGAAUUCCACGUGUAGCGGUGAAAUGCGUAGAGAUGUGGAGGAACACCAGUGGCGAAGGCGACUCUCUGGUCUGUAACUGACGCUGAGCGCGAAAGCGUGGGGAGCGAACAGGAUUAGAUACCCUGGUAGUCCACGCCGUAACGAUGAGUGCUAAGUGUUAGAGGGUUUCCGCCCUUUAGUGCUGCAGCAAACGCAUU